AUAAUCAGCAUAAAGGACAUGGA
RNAcentral lists this small nuclear RNA (23 nucleotides) under Arabidopsis thaliana (thale cress). RNAcentral's name for it is "snRNA_15238". Lineage: Eukaryota; Viridiplantae; Streptophyta; Magnoliopsida; Brassicales; Brassicaceae. The record is from RNAcentral.